CAAAGACUGACUACCUUGUUUACUGUAGGAAGACGUGCUGUUUCUCACUGCCUGUGGAACCCCAAAUUAUGUUGCUCUUGAGGUGCUCACCGAUAAAGGUUAUGAUGGUACAACAGCUGAUAUAUGGUCUUGUGGGGUCAUUCCGAUUGUUCUUAUGGCUGGAUACUUACCUUUUGACGAGCCGAACCACAUGGCUUUGAAAGCAUUCAAGAACUUAGUUUUUCUAAGUGUUUUUUAUUUUUUAAUAUAUGUAAUCAUAGUUAAAUUUUUUUUUUUAUUAAUUUCUUUGUAUAUACUUUUGAACAUUUAAUUUUCAUUUAUGAAAUAUAUGACGUUAUUUCAUUCAA
This is a non-coding RNA of Camellia sinensis, 347 nucleotides long. The record is from RefSeq and is a predicted model, not a curated record. NCBI's taxonomy places the organism in Eukaryota, Viridiplantae, Streptophyta, Magnoliopsida, Ericales, Theaceae.